UACGUAGGGGGCUAGCGUUGUCCGGAUUUAUUGGGCGUAAAGAGCGUGUAGGCGGCCAGGUAGGUCUGCUGUGAAAACUCGAGGCUUAACCUCGAGACGUCGGCGGAAACCAUCUGGCUAGAGUCCGGAAGAGGAGAGUGGAAUUCCUGGUGUAGCGGUGAAAUGCGUAGAUAUCAAGAGGAACACCUGAGGUGAAGACGGGUUGCUGGGCCAACACUGACGCUGAGGCGCGAAAGCCAGGGGAGCAAACGGG
RNAcentral lists this ribosomal RNA (253 nucleotides) under uncultured bacterium. RNAcentral describes it as "partial 16S ribosomal RNA". It matches the Rfam family "Bacterial small subunit ribosomal RNA", at positions 524 to 776 of the family's 1533-position model. The record is from RNAcentral.